This 858-nucleotide long non-coding RNA is filed under the name Triticum aestivum (bread wheat). RNAcentral's name for it is "long non-coding RNA (TAES_LNC012027)". The record is from RNAcentral. Lineage: Eukaryota; Viridiplantae; Streptophyta; Magnoliopsida; Poales; Poaceae.
GCAUGGAACGAGGUAAUACAGUUAGGUUUAGUUUUGAUUUGGCUGUCUUACCUCCCCGUACAGCAGUCUUGGCCUCUUCCCCAUCCGCCCUCGCUGUAGCACAUGGCUGUCAACAUUGUAUUCUCCUCGGCUUGCAGGAUCCCCAAGUGACUCGCAGAUGCGAAGGAAAAUUGAGCAAGGUUCUGCCUCCCAUGGUUGAGCAGUCAUAAGGGUUAUGUUGUCUCUCCAUGUUGCUGGCAUAUGAGCCCAACUAAUAUUUGCUUCCUGUGAUCUAGGGAAGGAUAAGAUUGAUGUUUCCUACCUGCCAUACUCAUCUAUUUCGUCUUUCAGUUGACAUGCCUACUGUACGAAUUACAGUCUUUGGUACAUUCACUUAUCCCUUCGAAUUUGACAAGCAUGGAAGAAUCUGAAUAUCACAAGUUAUGAUUUCUUUGUUUCCUAAUCAUCCCUCUCCCGUUAUUAUUUAGCAUUGGCUAACUGACUGCGGUGUUUAUGCUUAUAUCCUUCGGUUAUAGUUUAUAACAAACCAAAUUAAGGAUUUUGUGUUCAUCUCUGAAAAUUCAUAAUGAUGUUUGGUAUUUAAUCUUUCAAGGAAAUGCAGCAAAGCUGUUGUACUAGGAAGAUUAUCCUGACAUGGAGUUUUUUAGGAACAGGAGAGUCGCACACAUCUAAAGUAUAGAAAUUUAUUCUUAAUGUGCUAGGCUUAAUGCAACUAAGAUAAAUGUUCAACAAGGCUUAUUGAUCUGUUAAAUUGUUCUCAGUUUCAGAUGUCAAUACAAGAAAGGUAACCUUGUGUUAGAUCUUCAAUCCAAGGGAGAAAUUGGAGCAUCGGGACAUUUAAACUGAACCUAAAUUAAG